GAAAUGCGAUAAGUAAUGUGAAUUGCAGAAUUCAGUGAAUCAUCGAGACCUUGAACGCAAAUUGCGCCCGAGGGAUAUCCCUCGGGCAUGCCUGUUGGAGUGUUGGUUUCAUUUCCAUCACCCCCAUGGGGUGGACAUGAGCAUCAAAGGCUGUCCUUCGUUGCAUCAAAGAAAGAGACACAAAGGCUGGAGAGAUUCCACCCGGUUGGUGACCCUAAGGGGUCCGCACGGCAAUGCCACAGUACCUUCGGGUAACUUUCAUUGCCAGACUCGGGAGAGAUGACUUCGGCCGAGUGGCAAGGAAACUGCCGAAAGGCAAAAAACCUCUUUUCAACCUCCAAUCAGGCAAGGUUACCCGCCGAAUUUAA
This 368-nucleotide unclassified non-coding RNA is filed under the name uncultured Biscogniauxia. RNAcentral describes it as "sequence contains ITS1". The stretch from base 1 to 105 matches the Rfam family "5.8S ribosomal RNA", at positions 50 to 154 of the family's 154-position model. The record is from RNAcentral. Lineage: Eukaryota; Fungi; Ascomycota; Sordariomycetes; Xylariales; Xylariaceae.